GAGCUCAGUUGGUUAGAGUGUGGUGCUGGCAAUGCCCACGUUGCAGGUUUGAUCCCCGUAAGAGACA
Molecule: non-coding RNA, 67 nt
Organism: Podarcis lilfordi (Lilford's wall lizard)
Lineage: Eukaryota; Metazoa; Chordata; Lepidosauria; Squamata; Lacertidae
Source: the annotation of a GenBank genome assembly